AUUGAACGCUGGCGGCAUGCCUUACACAUGCAAGUCGAACGGUAACAGGUCUUCGGAUGCUGACGAGUGGCGAACGGGUGAGUAAUACAUCGGAACGUGCCCGAUCGUGGGGGAUAACGAAGCGAAAGCUUUGCUAAUACCGCAUAAGAUCUACGGAUGAAAGCAGGGGACCGCAAGGCCCUGCGCGAACGGAGCGGCCGAUGGCAGAUUAGGUAGUUGGUGGGAUAAAAGCGUACCAAGCCGACGAUCUGUAGCUGGUCUGAGGGGACGACCCGCGACACUGGGACUGAGACACGGCCCAGACUCCUACGGGAGGCAGCAGUUGGGAAUGUUGGACAAUGGGCGAAAGCCUGGUCCAGCCAUGCCGGGUGCAGGAUGAAGGCCUUCGGGUUGUAAACUGCUUUUGUACGGAACGAAAAGACUCUUUCUAAUAAAGAGGGUCCAUGACGGUACCGUAAGAAUAAGCACCGGCUAACUACGUGCCAGCCGCCGCCGUAA
RNAcentral lists this ribosomal RNA (498 nucleotides) under uncultured bacterium. RNAcentral's name for it is "partial 16S ribosomal RNA". It matches the Rfam family "Bacterial small subunit ribosomal RNA", at positions 30 to 523 of the family's 1533-position model. The record is from RNAcentral.